GAUGAACGCUGGCGGCGUGCCUAAUACAUGCAAGUCGAGCGAACAGACGAGGAGCUUGCUCCUCUGACGUUAGCGGCGGACGGGUGAGUAACACGUGGAUAACCUCCCUAUAAGACUGGGAUAACUUCGGGACACCGGAGCUAAUCCCGGAUAAUCUAUUGCACCGCAUGGUUCAAUAGUGAAAGACGGUUUUGCUGUCACUUCUAGAUGGUUCUGCGCCGCAUUAGCUAGUUGGUACGGUAAUGGCUUAUCAAGGCAACGAUGCGUAGCCGACCUGAGAGGGUGGUCGGCCGCACGGGAACGGAGACGCGGUCCAGGCGCCUACGGGAGGCAGCAGUAGGGAAUGUGCCGCAGUGGGCGAAAGCCUGGCGGAGCAGCGCCGCGUGAGUGGUGAAGGUCUUCGGAUCGUGAAACUCUGUUAUUGGGGAAGAACAAAUGUGUAAGUAACUAUGCACGUCUUGACGGUACCUAAUCAGAAAGCCACGGCUAACUACGUG
RNAcentral lists this ribosomal RNA (497 nucleotides) under uncultured bacterium. Its description in RNAcentral is "partial 16S ribosomal RNA". It matches the Rfam family "Bacterial small subunit ribosomal RNA", at positions 28 to 507 of the family's 1533-position model. The record is from RNAcentral.